UUUUCAAUGAUUUAGGCCGAAAAACCACGGCCAAUUCUCUAUUCUGUAGGACAAUCUAUCGCAUAGAUUGCAUUACUGGGAUGAUUUGAAACCGAAAGAGACAAAACUGAGGGAAAAACAGAUCUGCAACAAGGAGCGACGAAACAGCCAGGCAACGACAAACAACGACUUCCAUUUCCUAAUGAGCGCUACUCUGACAGUAUCCCAUCCAUCUGCGCAAUUCCUGAUUGUUUGAACCAACUAUGCUAAGUAUAACCAAUAUUGGCUUUUCAAAGCUUAGCCUUGUUCUGACUAUCAAUCAGACCAGAUAAACCCUUUAUCACGUCUGAUGCUUCUUGAUCAAUCCUUUCUAUCAAGCUGGCACAUGUUGGAAUGUCAUCGAUAAGUCCGAUGGCGAUGCCAGCCCUGACCGUCAGUAAAGAUAAGAUUGCAUUCAAACUCACGACCAUAUCCCAGCAUCAUAAUCCCCCGUCUCGUAAACUUUGCGUCCUCUGGCGCCAGCAACAAGCUCUCGAAGAUCUUCAAAUUUGGCGCCUUGGGGUCUUUUUUCCAAUUCGACAACCCGAGUCGACACUGAAUUGCGAUAGACCCGAGCGGUAUUUCCCAGCGUACUAUAACGUCAUUCAGAUCAUUACAUAUCUUUAACCUGAAUGCAUACCGAAA
This 663-nucleotide small RNA is filed under the name Cryptococcus neoformans H99. RNAcentral describes it as "Cryptococcus neoformans var. grubii H99 hypothetical RNA". Lineage: Eukaryota; Fungi; Basidiomycota; Tremellomycetes; Tremellales; Cryptococcaceae. The record is from RNAcentral.